Diorhabda carinulata is the source of this 3466-nucleotide long non-coding RNA. RefSeq lists it as uncharacterized. The record is from RefSeq and is a predicted model, not a curated record. The transcript has 2 exons. Lineage: Eukaryota; Metazoa; Arthropoda; Insecta; Coleoptera; Chrysomelidae.
UAACUAGAAGCGUGACCUGACUCGUUUAAUGAAAUUAAAAAGAGAGUGUAUGUAAGAAUAUUCAGGUCAACGAUAAGACGACGUGGUACAGAAAAUUUACUUUGUUACAAUUGCCAUUUUGUUUUUUGUGGAUUAGAUAAAAUAGACUCGGGGGCUGACUUUUUACUUAAAGGCGCCGAAUGAAGAAUAAAAAGAAAUUUAGGGGUUGAUUUAGCCCCACUACUCACCAGCCAGGUCUGUAGUUCCAUAUUGGGAUAUAAUAGGAAAGCUACGAGGUCUGGCUAUUGAAAAACGAAACUACGAAAGAGGAUUUGAUUAUAAAAAUUAUUCUACAUUCGAAGGCUCCCCUCCCCUCACCACACAACGUUACAUACGAUUUUUCCAUUGAUCGAAACAGUGCUGGAAGUCUUCUUUGGUGAGUGCCUUCAAGAGCUCUGCCGUUUUUUGCUUUACCUCUUCCAUCGUCUCAAAUCGGGUCGCUUUCAAAGCAGAUUUUAUGUUCGGAAACGAAAAAAGUCGCAUGGUGACGAAUCUGGUGAGUACGGCGGGUUUUCGAGCACUGGAGUGCGCUUACUGGCCAAAUACUGUUCCACAGAUAUUGCGUUAUCAGUAUGUGCGUUGUCCUGGUGCAAAAUCGGGCCGUUUUUUACGAACUCGUUCUCGCAGUGUUGACAAAACUGACAAAUGGUAAGUCUGGUUGACAGUUUGAACAUUUAGAACCUAUUUAGUCAUCACAAUACCGUUAAUGUCGAAAAAAACGAUCAAUAUUGCCUUGAAUUUUGAUUUGCUCUCUCGACCCUCACUAAAGAGCUUACUCCACUCAAAAACACGCACACGAGAUAGAGAAUUGUCCCCAUAGGCCUCUUGCAACAAUUUAUAGCAUUCAGUCGGAAUUUUUUUUAAUUUAACGAGAAAUUUGAGAUUGAUACGUUGCUCCUGUUUUUCAGCACUUGAAAAAAACAUGUUCGUUUCAAACCGCUACUGCACAAAUACUAUAAUAGUGAAGGAAACGUGUUUUGUGACGUGCAUAGACAAGAUAUCUAGAUACCCAACGCACUAAUCGUUUUUCACCCCACUCGUCUAUGGCGCCCUGUAGGCGCGCAGUCUCGUUAUUUAACCAGAUUUGCUGCCAGCUCUCGGACUAUAAUGUAAUCCAUUAAUGAUUAUAUAUAAUCCAUUAAUUUUCCAUUAUUUCUAUAUUUCUUCACUAUUGACGAUUGUAUAUCGUUUAGGCCUGUCCAGUGCCUGAUAUUUCACAGCUUAAACAUUUUCCUUCUUCCGAUCUCUCUGCGGCCUUCGAUCUUGCCCUCAAUUAACAGUCGCAGGAAUUGAUAUUUCGUAUCUUAAAUUACACCAUCGGUCUAAAGUUUUUGCUAAGUCUAUAAUUUGCGUGAUACACAACAGGGGUUGAUAUAGCUCCGCUACUCACCAGCCAGGUGGACAGUUCCAUAUUGAAGUAUAAUAGGAGAGCUAUAUAACAAGAUUUCAGUUUCAGCUUGCCUCGAAUACCCACCUAAAAUUUGCCUAUCCAGCUCUCCUACUAUUAGUAAAAGAAGAAUAAUAAAUUUUCAAUUUCGCCUAUUCUUUAAACUCACUUCUUUUAAUAGGAAUUUACAGAUUGUAUUUCAUAUAACUUGUAUUAAUUAGCUAACAGAUAAAAAAUACAAGAUUUCUAUUCAAUGAUUUAAUAGGCUUGGUUUUGUAAUUAAUCACUGUAUAAAUGAAUUAAUACUAGAAGUGGACGGCGCUAAAUAAUUAAUCAAUUGCUGCUCUAUAGAUUGGUCUUUUGAUUUUGGAUUAUUGCAUCUGAUAAGGAAUUUAUAAAUUAUUGUGGGAGUUAAAUUAUAGGUGUUUAUACAGAGUGGGGUACGAGUAUCAAAUCGUCAGUUAUCUAAGAAGUGACUAUAAAGAUUUUUUCAAACUUUUGGUUUGUAAGGGUUUGUCAUGAAGAUUCUGAAUUUAUAUUGUAUAAUAUUCCAUACAGCUAAUAGUCAUAAUUAUAGCUACAUUUGCAAUAUCUCCACUGAAAUUAGAAUACAAUAAGAUGGUAUUGAUAGAAUAAACUAGUUUAAUUUGUACAAUUUUUAAUAUUGUAUAUCAUUAAAUAAAUUUCAUAACAAGGUUAAGAUAUUAGUAUACACCAAACCCAUGCUAAAUGUUUUUUUUAAUUAAAAUAAGUUUACAGAAAAUCUGAAGCCACUAGAUGUUUGUUCAUAUCAUGGUAAAAAAAAACCAUUUGAGUAGCGAGCAAAUUGGGAGCUUUAAGCAACAUAAAGUACUUAAAUACUAAAAUCCAUGUAAUUUUUGAAACAUUCCAAUACAUAACAUCCUUGAAUGCUUCAUUUUUUCCUUAAUAGCAAUUCCUAAAUAUUGGCAUGUUUUUUUAAAUCCUUCCACAGGUAAUAGUACCUAUGUUUCAUAGUGUGGUGGGGCUUCAUCUUGUUAUUAUCGCCUAAAAGUUUCAAAUAACGGAAUUUCUAAAUUAAAUCGCAAAAGAAAAUACUUACUUGGAUUGGGAUAUAACAAAGCCAACAAUAAAUUUAAAUAUGAUGGACCAAUUAGUUUGUCGCCUACUAUUCCAGCACAUACAUUAAUUUUCUGUGCCUAUUGGUUAUGGGAUUGUGUCAUCCAAAGACAAGUUUUACGUGACCAGGAAUCUACAAUUAUGACGAUUUACGUUUCAAUUAAUAUGAAAAAUUGGCUUCAUUCUAAAACAUUGCCUUAUUUAAACAAAUUAGUUCGAUCUGACCGAAACAUUAAAAUCUUACUUCCUCCUUCAUCAAAUCCAUGGUAACUUUUAAUAUAUAUCAACAUUAAUUGUUAUGAUUGCAGUUAGAGCCAUUUUAAAAUAUAAUUGUAACUUCGGUGGAGAUAUUGCAAAUAUUAUUACAAGUAGUUAAAUGUAACAUUAUAUUAAAAAAGCAGGUACUAUCAUUAAAAACAAAAAAAUCUGACAACAAUGUAAAUCCCAACAUUGUAAAGGCCAAAUUUCAAAACCUUCACUAUCUAAAAUUUAUAAAAAUUAUGAAGCCGUUUUCGAGAUCAAUUAUGUAAACCUCGUAUCGUAAACCUCUCGUACGCUUCAUAAAAUGGGUUUAUCAACAUUCUGAUAAAAAUUAAUAAAUUCAUUUUUUUCUCGAAGUUUUCAAUGAGUGAAUUCAUCAACUCCAGCUACCAUCAUUUGAAUUUUAUUCUAAAAGAAAUUUAUUAAUCUAAGACUUAGUAAAAUAAAAUAAUAAUUCUAAUACUUUAUAGGUAAUAAACCAAAAACAUUUCAUAUCUUAUUUUUUUCAAGAAAGAAAAAAAUACUAAAAUAUUAGCUGCAGCUCUAAAUAUCCAAUUAAUCCGAAAUAUUUAAUUAAUUAAGUAAUAAAAAACCCUUAAUUUGAUAAAUGUAAUACCAAUAUUUAAUUGAUAUAUCACUUACUCUCUUUAAAGGUUACAUUAAAAUAUAUUAGUAUAAAAA